AAGGGAAUGUUUACGUGGAGCUCAUAGGUGUGAAAAACAGCUCAUACAUAUGUUGUCUAAUCGAGCCAUGGAUCCAAAGGAACUCAACAUGUAAUUAAAUCAAGAUGUGCAUGUGUGGUGGAGUAAAUGAUAGUAAUGGUGAAAAUAUAAGUAAUGAUAAAACUUACUUCUCAUUGCUCCUCAUAUUGCUAUCUCUCCUCCUCUUUGAUCUUUGCUUUGGGAGAACAUAGGCUAUCUUUUUCUUCUUUUUUUCAGGUGGGUAACGAAUACCCCUAAUUCUACUGUCGGACAUUUGUCCAUUUUUUCGCUCAAGUGGGCAUCAUUGUACCCCUAAUUCUACUCCGGACACUUGUCCAUUUUUACCUCUCGUCUCGCUCUUUUUCUUUCUUUUUCGAGGUUCCGGGCACUUGCCCCUUUUUAUUUCCUCGCAUAUUUUUGCAUAACCCAUGCCUCUUCUACAUUGAAUCUUUUUAGAGAGAGAGAAUAACAACACUUGGGACAGUGAGUGAUAAUAUUUUUAGCAAUUUUAAUGAAUGAUGGUGGAUGGUGUAGUAGAUGUGUGCAGGUGAAUAUCUUAAUUUAACCACAUGAAAAGGUCCUAAGGGUCUACACAGCUCGAUCAAAGUCAAUGUGAAUAUAAGUAGCAAAAGAUGUAGAAAUUAUAGCAAGUAUGGCUGUGGUAGGAAUUUUGUCAUGCUAGGAACUCAUCAUGUGAUCUUCAAGUUUUUAAAAUAAAUCUCCAGAACUUAGUGUAGUAGAAACAAGAUAAACAGC
This 774-nucleotide long non-coding RNA is filed under the name Sorghum bicolor (sorghum). RNAcentral describes it as "long non-coding RNA (SBIC_LNC000333)". The record is from RNAcentral. Lineage: Eukaryota; Viridiplantae; Streptophyta; Magnoliopsida; Poales; Poaceae.